AGGACGAACGCUGGCGGCGCGCUUAACACAUGCAAGUCGAGCGAGAACCAGGGCUUCGGCCCUGGGGAAAGCGGCGAACGGGUGAGUAACACGUGAGUAACCUGUCCUCGGCACCGGGAUAGCCCGGGGAAACCCGGAUUAAUACCGGAUGGCCUUUCGAGCUCUCGGGCUCGUUAGAAAAGGUAGCUUCGGCCUCCGGCCGAGGAGGGACUCGCGGCGGAUUAGCUUGUUGGUGAGGUAACGGCUCACCAAGGCGACGAUCCGUAGCUGGUCUGAGAGGACGAUCAGCCACACUGGGACUGAGACACGGCCCAGACUCCUACGGGAGGCAGCAGUGGGGAAUCUUGCGCAAUGGGCGGAAGCCUGACGCAGCGACGCCGCGUGCGGGAAGAAGGCCUUCGGGUUGUAAACCGCUUUCAGGAGGGACGAAGCCACUCGGGUUAAUAGCCCAGAGGGUGACGGUACCUCCAGAAGAAGCCCCGGCUAACUACGUGCCAGCAGCCGC
This 505-nucleotide ribosomal RNA is filed under the name uncultured bacterium. RNAcentral describes it as "SSU rRNA". It matches the Rfam family "Bacterial small subunit ribosomal RNA", at positions 26 to 518 of the family's 1533-position model. The record is from RNAcentral.